Non-coding RNA from Dermacentor andersoni, 5964 nucleotides. The record is from RefSeq and is a predicted model, not a curated record. Lineage: Eukaryota; Metazoa; Arthropoda; Arachnida; Ixodida; Ixodidae.
UGUGCCAAGUACAUCUCGGUCAUCACGGGAGCCCCCAUCUACACCAACAGGAAGGGGCUGGAGCCGAAUUCGUAAGACCACGAACAAAAAAGCCAUUCCAGUACAAUUUGGAUGAGAUAUCAAGUCUACGGACGACUGUUUCAAGAGUGAAAAGAGCCUCCGCCAUCAUUCCACCAGCACAGAUAUUGGCCAAGUCAUCCAGAAUGGCCGGAGCAAUGGCGCGCCGCUGGAGCUGAUCGCAGGGGCCACGCGCUGCCGCUUCUUAUUUUCGAACCACUGUGGAAGGUACAGUUUCCCUUCUUUAAAGUUGUUUCUUUAUUCUAUGACAUGGCUCGCGUCUCGUUCGCGCGUGUACCGUAUGCAUGAUGUGGCCCCCUUUUUGUUUUUGGAGAAUGCUUAGAAGCUUCAAGUUGCGGACACUGCGGUGGGCCAGGGCUUGAUGACAUUUUUUGCCCAGCUGCUGGUGCUACCACGACGUACUUGGAGCAACGGCAAGUGUCUUGCGAUUACCCGUUCCCUUGCUGACACGUAAAAAACCGGUUGCGCAUUUGAGCUGUGGUCGAUGUGAUCUCGAAAUUCGAAAAAACACGAAACGCUUGUCGCAGGUCCCGCAGUGAUCGCAGGACAAUUUAUUCGUUCGUGCCUUCAACAAUUACUACUGCAGUUCCUACGCGUUGCACCGAUGAAAAAAAAAAAGCGACAGCUUCCACGCGCCAGCAAUGCAUGCGCUCAACUAGUAUGGAGGUCGUCCUGUGAUACUUAUCGCAUUCUUAAGUCUAUUUUUCUCCAUCUCUAUUGGAUGACUACGCUAUGCCCCUCUUAUUUACCCAUGCAGCGCAUGGCUGCAUUUAAUUGCCUUUCUCGCUGCUCGCACUGACCGCGGCUUUCAGAGGCUUUCAUUCGUGAGAUAACGAAAGUGUAUUUGCUUCACUUAAAGCUUCUUAGUAGCUCCAUUGCGAGCCGUGGAAUUAAAUCAUACAAUGUCUACAUACGUUCUGAGCGAGCUGGUAAACGAACCCACUUUACUGCUGCUGUCGCUUUUACGGGAACUUUCAAAAACAAACAUAUAUGAGUAUGAAUCGGCUCACCAAGCUUUAUAUGCACGUCCAUUGCUUUCGUUUAUAGAUCAUGUGCGUAGCUUUGCAACCGUGACCGAUAUUGUAAAAACAGCAAGAAGGCAGAUGACACAAGUAGUGUGUCUGCUUUAAUUGUUGUCUGUGCUGUUUUUAGAAUAUCAACCAACUCCACGCACUCGUGCUGUUUACAGCUAAAACGUGUUUUUUCUUGUUGCAUGAGGAGCAUUUGCUUCUAAUUGUGGCAGUAACAUUGUGAAUUGUCCUCGGCCCAGAUCGCUGACAGUGUGCAAAUUUGUCUAAUUUGUUUCACUUUGGUGCUGUCUUUACAGCUUCUGCUUAUUUCCUCUGCCUGCACCUUAUAUUUGUUGUGUUUAUCGAGACCUGGCCUGUCUCUGCCUCGUUGAAGACAAAUGGACACAAGUACUGGUCGCUGUUGGUUUGUUUGGUUUGCUCAGUCUGAGCGUGGUAUGUAUAUCCAUUUGCUAAAAGGGUAUACUGCUGCAUCUAAUGCAGGUACUGCUCAUCUAAAGGUAGAUUUAAUUAGUAGUGGUUUGAGUGAUGUAUGACACCAGAGAGUUGUUCUAGAAAGAUGACAAAGCUGGUCGACAAAUUUAAGGUAUGGAGAUGCAUAACCAUUUAAGUGUUCUAAGUUGCCAUAAAGUAUUACACACAUUUAAAAUUUCAGUUGCAAAAGACGUAGUAGAAGAAGAAUCCAGAAGAUUUGCUGCCAAAUGUCUUGAGACAAUAAAUUGUAGGGAAAGCAUUAUAGUGUGAGCUGCAAAUGAUUGUCGUCAGCUCUAACCCAUUCUUCUAUAUAGUCACUGUUGCUUCAUUGUCUGUUGCCAUCACAUGCUUGUUAUAAACAAAAAAUUGAGCUGCGUCAUUCCCCUGAUUUUCUCGCCCAUAAGAUACAAAUGUUUUGAUUUCGGCUGCCUUGGUGCCUCAUGGUAAAAAAUGAGUGUUUAUUAGCCAGUUGCCAGCUUCUAAGAUCAUGUGCUUUGUAAUGUGGGUGUUUUAAAGGAUACUUCACAUCUGCCAUCAUGACUGUGAGUGCUGCUGCCUAGCACUCCCAGAGCUAUGCUUAGUACACAUGCGGCGCUAUCCAAGAAAAUUGACAUUGCGACAACUGCCAUUGAGACAACUGCCAUUGAAGCUCACUUGGUAGAGCAUUGCAAGCACAAGGCAGAAAACGUGGGUUCAGCUUCGUUGUCUCUUGUGCAAAGCAUUAUCAUGAUCUGUCUCCUGGCUUCUUCGUACAUCCAGUCAGAUAGGCUCAAUAAUAGUUAGUAACGUGCCUGAUGGUGGGUCGUUAAUCUGGGUCCUUAGUGCAGCAGCCCAUUUCUUUACCCAUUAGGCUACAGAUGCAUGCAUAGCGUGCCAGAUUAAUCUCCCUGGUUCUCUCGUAGCAGCUAAUUCUUUCAGAUGUUAUGUGACACAGAGUUUGGGAUUCACCAAUUUCAGCUUAUCGUUGCGACAUUCACAACCACUUUAGCUGCUCAUAAAAUCAUUGAAGUGCAUGUAAAGUGCCUCUAUGUUGUGUCUGUUAAAAACAUGCUCCAUCGUGCUGCAACAUUAUGCACAUUAGCUUUGUGUGCAAGCCACAGCUGUUGCAAUGUGCUGCACCGCAAUGCACUUUGGUUAUGUGGAAAAGCUACCACUGUUGCUACGCUCUUUACUGUUAUACACGUCAACCUUGCGGCAAAGCCACUGCACUUGCAAUGUGCUGCGCCUCAAAACAUUUCAGGUAUGUGGGAAUGCACACUUGCAUGUGCUAGAUUUGGGCAUCUUUAAUGCAAAGAAUUAUUUCUUCAUACCAAGCACUUUGCAGUAGGCAAUUUUACGUCCCGGCUCAUUUCGGUCUUCUGCAUUAAAAACAAAAAUAUGUUACAGUGAGCCCGAACCUGUCUCCCAGCAUAACAACCUGACGCUCUAACCAUUUGACCACUGUUGUGCACAUACUUCUUGCUCGCCAAUGCAUAUCUGUGUGUAUGAGAUAGUGGCACGUGUAUUACAGUGCAUAAUACGUGUCAGAGCAUGUGUGCAUAUACAAGUUGCUUAUCAAACUGAGAGCAUGUCAGUCUCUCCCAUUCUUCCUUUGUGGCUGGACUUCGAGGUGCUUUGUUAGAAUGCACCACCUUUGGGAUUCGCUCACAUUUCUAAGUCCCGCUCACUGUAGCAGCUAGCACAACAUGGACACUGUGCAACAUAGUACUACCUUUAUGCUGUAAUGUUUCUUCACUGGAGUACAAAAAGGAAUCAUGUAGAUCCUACGUACAUGUUAAAAUCUACGUAAAGUGGUUAAUCAGAAUUUAUGAAACAUUCAUAUUUAAUGCAUUCUUGCAAUCCAAAUGAUGGAAAGCAUAUUUGUCUUGGCAAGAUAGCAGUAGCAGAUGUCACAAGCAUGUUAUGCAGGGAAGCCACCGUGUCACCUGUAGCUGUUCUCUGUUUAGUGAGGAUGAAGGUGACAUGUGCUUGUUUAGUGAAGAACGUUGACAAGAGGUGUAUGCACAAAAACAUAUGACACUUAUCUUAAUACUACAUGUAAGGCUUGUAUACUUGUGCAAGGUUUGGGUACGGGCUAGUUGGUAUUCCAUGGUAUCAAACGUCACUUACAGCGCAUACACAGGCUUGCAUAAGCAGCACUUGUCUUUGUCGUCCUUUUUGUCCCUCGUCUGUGCAUGCGCUGUAAGUGACGCUUGUAUACUUGUGUCGCAGCGACACGUACCCAUUCUACGAGAUGGGCCUAGAAUAGGCACAUGCCCAUUUGCGCAUACUGCAUAAGCCAAGUUUUCCACUCGUCAAAACAGCAGCCACCACAAAGUGUUAGGAAAGAGGCAAAGAAACCAUGCUUUUGCAUUCGUACUCUCCUCACAAAGCUUGUCAUAUAUGCAAUCACUCGCCAUACACAAACACAUUGGUCUACACUGCAAUGUUUGGAAGAACCCGAACCAACGCUAGAUAGCCAUUUACCUCCAAUAUGCCUCCUGUAACAUAAAUCCCCACUGUGUAUGGAAUCUACAUAUUUUUUUUUUUAUUUCUCAGGCAUAUGGUGGUAGAGGCCAGUGCAUAAGACAGAAAUCCUGCUAGACUGCAGCAAUGUUCAGAAUGUAGUAUGACGUACUCUGUCUGGCUGGAAGUUGAAGAUAGAAAUUAUAUUAGUAGUUAAAAUACAGUAGCCAGUAUUGAAACUACACAUGCACUCAAGGCUGAGCCACAUCAUGAGAACAUGGAAGAGCAGACACACACUGCCACAAUGCCAGUUGAGCUGGCAUUGUGUAGCUUUACCAACAAGCCCAGCUGUAAACUGAAGUAAGGCAUGCUGUGGGUCUAGUCAGCUCGUAGCUUCAGCAAAAUUUUAAACUGUGCGAGGAAGACAGGAUAUGAACAGAAACAUAGAUGCAUGCACAAAGUGUAGACUUCCGACUGGCUUUGUUUGGUGAAGGCAGAGAGUUUAUAAGGUUCUUAAAAAUGGUAAAACAAAGAAAUUGUGCACAAGGCUGUGACGAAAAAUAGCAAGGCCACCUGUGCAUUAAGAGCGCAGUAGAGCCCCAAUGUGCCCAUCUAAGAAUUCUAUUUCUUUCCUUGAUAGGGAUCAAGAAGGUGAGCUAACUUAGUUGUCACACCUUUUAGCGAUGUGGAAUGUUUUGAUGACUUCUCUUUCUGUUUUUGAGUUUGCCUUCGAAAGGCAUUUAUUCUGUUCCACAUAAGGCAGGCAGCUUUUGCUGUCGCAGCUCCUGCACUGCAAGAGGAGAUUCUCAAGGAAAGAAUUAAAGUCUUCGAUGGGCACAUUAAGACUCUCCUGCACUCUUAAUGCAUACAUGGCCUUGAUAUUUUUUGUCACUGCUGCGUGCAUGAAUUAUUUGCAACUGCUCCUUGUUUUGCUGUUGUGAAGUACCUUAUAUAUUCUCUGCUUUUAGGAAAUAAAACCAGUUGGAAGCCUGUGCUUUGUGUGAGUCUGUUUCAGUUCACGUCCCGUCUUCCUCGUGGAGUUUAAAAUUUUGCCUAACCAGCUGUAUAUCUUGUGUAUACGAUGAGUAAUUAAUAUUAUGAUGACUGCAGCACAGCAAUGGUCUAGUGGCAUAGUGUCGACAUAGUUUAGAGAUGGUACUAAGUUAAAAAUCUGGAAAUGCCAUAAAUUGUGCAAUCAACCCUUAUCCCUUGGUUUUUUACAGCUUCAGAGCACUUGACCACUGCAGCAGUCAAGCAUGCUGUAUAUUGGGCAGUGCCAGGAAUUGCGAGAUCGAAACAGGCUGCCACUAGAAGUUCCUUGGGCCAGGUGAUAACUCAAAUGCAUCCAAAUAUUUCUAUAUUUCACUGUAUAAACCUUUGUAGAAUGAGGAACUUUUCAAGGGUGAAGUUGUUUCGUACAAAAGAAAACUAUUACUAAAUAGUGACCAGUUUCUUUUGUUUUGUAAGCCAGAUUGCAUGUAUUUAACAUUGCUUACUGAUUCUUACUUAUUCUCGCUGUCCGAUACAAGCAUAUGCACUCACAUAUGUUUUCAAACAAAACUAUUGUGUGGAGCCAUGUUUGUGGUGGAAUAAAAUUGGUCCCAAUACAGAGCUCUGUGGCACAGCGGAUCUUACUAGUGAUCACGGAGAAGAAAGUUCAUUAGUAGUUACAAAUCAGUACCGGUUAGUUAAAAAUUUACUAAUCCAAUCCGUAGUCCUGUCAAUUCGAAGUUUACUGUCGUUUGUGUAUUGCACCAAGCCGAUGUCCCCUGACCUGGGCGGGCUGUAACAUUCGCGGUGCUGGCCGCAUUCUCGGUUGUAAUCUACAGAUCAGAUUGCCCCGCUAGCCACGAUAUCUUUUCUUUUGCCACUCCCUGAUUGGCUGCCUAACGCUCAAAAAGCGCGUCGCCGAACGAAUAAAACGUCAUUGUCUUCCUGG